Molecule: non-coding RNA, 257 nt
Organism: Pelobates cultripes (western spadefoot toad)
Lineage: Eukaryota; Metazoa; Chordata; Amphibia; Anura; Pelobatidae
Source: the annotation of a GenBank genome assembly
CAAACAAAAACGCCAGUAGAAUUGGGGUGUAUUCACUAAAUUGUGAGUUUUAGGGUCAUAUUUUGAGUUUUUUCCUUAGUAAAUCGGUCGAAUUUGCUGUUUAGUGAAUAAGCUCCCAGCGAUAGAAUUCUAGUGAAUGGGAUAAUUAGCAGAGAUUUGCUAACACAGAGAAAACAAGAAGCGAUUUAGAAUUCUAUUAACACUUUGAAGGAGGUAGAAUUAGUAACGCGUAAGGUCACUGCCUGGCAUUCUAUAGG